Molecule: transfer RNA, 86 nt
Filed under: Nitrospiraceae bacterium
Lineage: Bacteria; Pseudomonadati; Nitrospirota; Nitrospiria; Nitrospirales; Nitrospiraceae
Also listed under: 1 other name
Description: tRNA-Leu
Rfam family: tRNA
About the family: Transfer RNA (tRNA) molecules are approximately 80 nucleotides in length. Their secondary structure includes four short double-helical elements and three loops (D, anti-codon, and T loops).
Source: RNAcentral
GCCGGAGUGGUGGAAUGGCAGACGCGGUGGACUCAAAAUCCAUUGGGGGCAACCCCGUGCGGGUUCAACUCCCGCCUCCGGCACCA